This 1083-nucleotide long non-coding RNA is filed under the name Homo sapiens (human). RNAcentral's name for it is "HSALNT0324200". Lineage: Eukaryota; Metazoa; Chordata; Mammalia; Primates; Hominidae. The record is from RNAcentral.
AGAGCCUCAAAGAGCACCCAGCAUAACUGUGGGAGAAUAGUAAGCAUUGGACACAAAAUGUAACUCCAGGUUGAAGAACUUCUACUUAUAGGCAUCUAUUCAACGAAGACGAAUCCUGGAAUGGGGAUGGAAAUGAUGGCUCAUGUCUUAGCAAACUACCAAACUGAUCCGAGAGGACAGGGAAGUCAGUGUGGGCGGCUCUAAGGAGCCUCCCUCUCUACAGCUGCGGCUCAGAGGAUUACGGCGCUUCAUCCACAAGGCAACAUUGCACAAGUAGCUUUUGAACAAAAGUCAUGGAUACUAUUAAUGAUAUGGUAAUCCUUAAUCGAGCUACCUCCCAGUAGUGAUUAUACUGACAUGGGAAGAAUAUCUAAGUCGUGGAGGCAGCCCACAACAACACUGUGUCAUUGUUCACCCCGGGCUCGACCAGGACUAACUUUUACCAGCAUCUCUAACGUCACCUUUCCCCUGAUGCCUCCCCACAACCCCUGGCCCCAGCUCCCAUUCCCGCCCCAUCAUAGCAAAAAAGUAGCAAAGAAAACCCUGAUCCUAAAUCUUUUUCUGGAUUUUUUUUUGCAAGUUCCCACACACAUUUAGUGUCGUCUCAAAAUUCACGCUGUCAACUGUCUCUAGGAAUCAUUUCCAUCUGAGAACAGACCACACAAAGGUUAGUUCGGUGGGUCUCAGUGAAGAUGUUUUAAUUGUCUGACAAUAGAUUCUUCCAUCAUUUGACUUGCAAAUACUGUCCUCUUGCUCUCAGAUAACAUGUUCAGAAUUAGACCAUUUGUCAAUAAAUUUCCCAAAACUCCUUAAUUAUGAUACUGAAAUACAAGUGGUUUGCCAUUUGACAAGACUCAAUUACAAUCCAGCAGGGAAAAUCUUAUGGCUCACUAAACUGUGGGACUCCCCGAAAGGCCAAACUUAAUUUACUCAUAGAUGAGUCCCCUUAACAUAAGGAAAGUGACCUUCAUAAAGACAGAAUAUAUCUAUGAUUUUUAUGUAAUUAUAUGUGUGGGAUAAACAUGUUCAAAUGACUUGUGGUAAAUGUACUAAUGAAGCUAAAGAAACUAUACCCUAACUACC